ACAUUUCUACGAUUGACCUCGGAUCAGGUAGGGAUACCCGCUGAACUUAAGCAUAUCAAUAAGCGGAGGAAAAGAAACCAACAGGGAUUGCCUUAGUAACGGCGAGUGAAGCGGCAACAGCUCAAAUUUGAAAUCUGGCCUCGUCGAGGUCCGAGUUGUAAUUUGGAGAGGGUGUUUCGAAUAAGACGCCGGCCUAAGUUCCUUGGAACAGGACGUCAUAGAGGGUGAGAAUCCCGUAUGCGGCCGGUGAUCGAUUUCAUGUGAAACCCCUUCGACGAGUCGAGUUGUUUGGGAAUGCAGCUCAAAAUGGGUGGUAUAUUUCAUCUAAAGCUAAAUACCGGCCAGAGACCGAUAGCGCACAAGUAGAGUGAUCGAAAGAUGAAAAGCACUUUGGAAAGAGAGUUAAAAAGUACGUGAAAUUGUUGAAAGGGAAGCGCUUGCAACCAGACUCGUCUCCGGGUGUUCAGCCCUCGUUCUCGAGGGUGCACUCUCCCGGUUACGGGCCAGCAUCGGUUCAGGCGGUCGGAUAAAUGCCAGAAGAAUGUGGCUUCCUUCGGGGAGUGUUAUAGCUUCGGUGCCAUGCGGCCAGCCCGGACCGAGGAUCGCGCUUCGGCUAGGAUGCUGGCGUAAUGGUUGUAAGCGGCCCGUCUUGAAACACGGACCAAGGAGUCGACCCUGCGUGCGAGUGUUUGGGUGUUAAACCCAUGCGCGUAAUGAAAGUGAACGGAGGUGGGAAUCCCUUUAGGGAGGCACCAUCGACCGGUCCAGAAGUUUACGGACGGAUCUGAGUAAGAGCACGUACGGUCGGACCCGAAAGGUACGUUUAAUCUUUUCUUAUUGAAGCGAAUUUAUGCUAAUAGAAUGUGUAGAUGGUGAACUAUGCCUGAAUAGGGUGAAGCCAGGGGAAACCCUGGUGGAGGCUCGCAGCGGUUCUGACGUGCAAAUCGAUCGUCAAAUUUGGGUAUAGGGGUAAGUCUGAUGUAUACACAUGUAAACCAAUGGCAUUUGCUAACACACUCUUCAGGCGAAAGACUAAUCGAACCAUCUAUUUUUUUGCUACCUAGGUGGUUAAUUGGAGGCGUGGCACGCUCCGGCAAUGCUCGCUUCCUCAGCUCUUCGGGGCAACAAUGCUACGUGCAUGAAUCUACCUCCCCGAAUCAGGAGGGUGACAUGCAGCCGCUGCCGUUUGUAACGGUGGCUGUCCACAGACCAAAUAGCAUUGGCCGAAGCUUUCUUCGGUUUAGAAAUGGCCGAGUCAUGCUUGUAACCAAGCCUGUCUCAAAGAGACUUGUACGUUCUUUCUGAGACAUCAAUGAAUAACGCUAGUAGCUGGUUCCUGUCGAAGUUUCCCUCAGGAU
RNAcentral lists this ribosomal RNA (1358 nucleotides) under Heterodermia speciosa. RNAcentral's name for it is "eukaryotic LSU rRNA". It matches the Rfam family "Eukaryotic large subunit ribosomal RNA", at positions 1 to 979 of the family's 3401-position model. Lineage: Eukaryota; Fungi; Ascomycota; Lecanoromycetes; Caliciales; Physciaceae. The record is from RNAcentral.